AGCGAACGCUGGCGGCAGGCUUAACACAUGCAAGUCGAGCGGGCAUCCUUGUGGUGUCAGCGGCAGACGGGUGAGUAACGCGUGGGAACGUGCCCUUCGGUUCGGAAUAACUCCGGGAAACUUUAGCUAAUACCGGAUACGUGCGAGAGCAGAAAGGUUUAUCUGCCGAAGGAUCGGCCCGCGUCUGAUUAGCUAGUUGGUGAGGUUAUGGCUCACCAAGGCGACGAUCAGUAGCUGGUCUGAGAGGAUGAUCAGCCACACUGGGACUGAGACACGGCCCAGACUCCUACGGGAGGCAGCAGUGGGGAAUAUUGGACAAUGGGGGCAACCCUGAUCCAGCCAUGCCGCGUGAGUGAUGACGGCCUUAGGGUUGUAAAGCUCUUUUCUCCGGGACGAUAAUGACGGUACCGGAGGAAUAAGCCCCGGCUAACUUCGUG
This 437-nucleotide ribosomal RNA is filed under the name uncultured bacterium. RNAcentral describes it as "partial 16S ribosomal RNA". It matches the Rfam family "Bacterial small subunit ribosomal RNA", at positions 29 to 507 of the family's 1533-position model. The record is from RNAcentral.